This 1025-nucleotide long non-coding RNA is filed under the name Helianthus annuus (common sunflower). Lineage: Eukaryota; Viridiplantae; Streptophyta; Magnoliopsida; Asterales; Asteraceae. The record is from RNAcentral.
AUCAACACAGAAUUGCAAGGGAGAGAGCGGCAGACACGCAAUUGAAAACCCUAGCUCCACGUUCCACCGCCUCGACACCGCACUGUUGUGUUACCGUCACCGUCAAUGUUUCAACUUCAACGGUGGCAGCGGCAAGAAGGGAUUUGAGGGUUGGACACUGAUUUUGGUUUUCUCCUAGCGCAAACCCUCAUCAAUACAUCAAAUCUGAGAGAGGGAGAGAGAGAAAUAGACGAAGAUGAGAGAGGAAGAGAGAGAGAGAGUGGAAUCGGAAUUGGUCUUCCGGCUAUAGGGUUUGGAUUAUGAGUUACGGACUAACCUUCGUCGUCUCAACUCUCAGAGACCAGGUGUUCUAUAAAAUACCAAUGAGAUGAAUUGAUAUGGUUUUGUCUUGAAACACUUGGGUAUCCAGUUAUGGAAGCUAAGAAUAGUCAUUGACUGCAAUUUGCAAGUGGUUGUCGACUCUGGUCGGAGGAGCCGGAUUUGAAAAGGUUGCAGCUUACAUUGUCUCUUCUGAAGCAAUGGCGGAGACAAAUGAGUGCUUAAUUUGGUCGAUUUUGUAUACAGGUACCAUGGUUAGUUUUAUAAAUAUGCCUUUAACCUACAAACUGUUUGUGGCUAAUUUGUUAUAAAGUGUGAAUUUGUUUGGAUCUGCAUAGAAUCUUAUUGAUCUAUGGUUUGAUAAAUUUGGUGAUGAAAUUGUAGAGUUGUAUGAAGGUUUAUACAUGUGCAAGUGAAUGUGUAUUGGCUAAAUACAUUUCGUUCUCUAAUGCAAAACUUCCAGCAACAUCGGCUACAGUGAAGCUAAUGCCGUCUACUGGCUAUACGAAGUCGACCCAACAAUCAUCAAGGCUCUAGCGAAUUCCAAAAGGCGGUUCUCCAUUUACAAUAAAUAAAAAUAUUAUCCUAGACGAGAGUUUAGCCUAAUCAGUGAGUAAAUCGAUACUAUAUAAGGGUAUAAGACCAUACCCUUGCUGCCAUUAUUUAUUUUUAUCAUAUUUUUGUCACUUGCAUACAUAAUACACCUU